This 918-nucleotide ribosomal RNA is filed under the name uncultured bacterium. Its description in RNAcentral is "bacterial SSU rRNA". It matches the Rfam family "Bacterial small subunit ribosomal RNA", at positions 1 to 917 of the family's 1533-position model. The record is from RNAcentral.
UAGAGUUUGAUCCUGGCUCAGAUUGAACGCUGGCGGAAUGCUUUACACAUGCAAGUCGAACGGCAGCACGGGAGCUUGCUCCUGGUGGCGAGUGGCGAACGGGUGAGUAAUGCGUCGGAACGUACCGAGUAGUGGGGGAUAACGCAGCGAAAGCUGUGCUAAUACCGCAUACGCCCUGAGGGGGAAAGUGGGGGAUCGCAAGACCUCACGUUAUUCGAGCGGCCGACGUCUGAUUAGCUAGUUGGUGAGGUAAUGGCUCACCAAGGCGACGAUCAGUAGCGGGUCUGAGAGGAUGAUCCGCCACACUGGGACUGAGACACGGCCCACACUCCUACGGGAGGCAGCAGUGGGGAAUUUUGGACAAUGGGGGCAACCCUGAUCCAGCCAUUCCGCGUGAGUGAAGAAGGCCUUCGGGUUGUAAAGCUCUUUCAGCUGGAACGAAACGGUACGUCCUAAUACGGUGUGCUAAUGACGGUACCAGCAGAAGAAGCACCGGCUAACUACGUGCCAGCAGCCGCGGUAAUACGUAGGGUGCGAGCGUUAAUCGGAAUUACUGGGCGUAAAGCGUGCGCAGGCGGAUUGUUAAGCAAGAUGUGAAAUCCCCGGGCUUAACCUGGGAAUGGCAUUUUGAACUGGCAGUCUAGAGUGUGUCAGAGGGGGGUGGAAUUCCACGUGUAGCAGUGAAAUGCGUAGAGAUGUGGAGGAACCCCAAUGGCGAAGGCAGCCCCUUGGGAUAACACUGACGCUCAUGUACGAAAGCGUGGGUAGCAAACCGGAUUAGAUACCCUGGUAGUCCCCGCCCUAAACGAUGUCAACUGGUUGUUGGGGGAGUGAAAUCCCUUAGUAACGAAGCUAACGCGUGAAGUUGACCGCCUGGGGAGUACGGUCGCAAGAUUAAAACUUAAAGGAAUCGACGGA